RNAcentral lists this ribosomal RNA (497 nucleotides) under uncultured bacterium. Its description in RNAcentral is "partial 16S ribosomal RNA". It matches the Rfam family "Bacterial small subunit ribosomal RNA", at positions 28 to 507 of the family's 1533-position model. The record is from RNAcentral.
GAUGAACGCUGGCGGCGUGCCUAAUACAUGCAAGUCGAGCGAACAGACGAGGAGCUUGCUCCUCUGACGUUAGCGGCGGACGGGUGAGUAACACGUGGAUAACCUACCUAUAAGACUGGGAUAACUUCGGGAAACCGGAGCUAAUACCGGAUAAUAUAUUGAACCGCAUGGUUCAAUAGUUAAAUACGGUUUUUCUGUCUCUUAUAGAUGGAUCCGCGCCUCAUUAGCUAGUUGGUAAGUUAACGGCUUACCAAGGCGACGAUGCGUAGCCGACCUGAGAGGGGGAUCGGCCACACUGGAACUGAGACACGGUCCAGACUCCUACGGGAGGCAGCAGUAGGGAAUCUUCCGCAAUGGGCGAAAGCAUGACGGAGCAACGCCGCGUGAGUGAUGAAGGUCUUCGGAUCGUAAAACUCUGUUAUUAGGGAAGAAAAAAUGUGUAAGUAACUAUGCACGUCUUGACGGUACCUAAUCAGAAAGCCACGGCUAACUACGUG